UAGCUCAGUUGGUAGAGCAUGGUGUUUGCAACGCCAGGGUUGUGGGUUCGAUUCCCUC
Molecule: transfer RNA, 58 nt
Filed under: Salmo salar (Atlantic salmon)
Lineage: Eukaryota; Metazoa; Chordata; Actinopteri; Salmoniformes; Salmonidae
Also listed under: 2 other names
Rfam family: tRNA
About the family: Transfer RNA (tRNA) molecules are approximately 80 nucleotides in length. Their secondary structure includes four short double-helical elements and three loops (D, anti-codon, and T loops). Further hydrogen bonds mediate the characteristic L-shaped molecular structure. tRNAs have two regions of fundamental functional importance: the anti-codon, which is responsible for specific mRNA codon recognition, and the 3' end, to which the tRNAs corresponding amino acid is attached (by aminoacyl-tRNA synthetases). tRNAs cope with the degeneracy of the genetic code in two manners: having more than one tRNA (with a specific anti-codon) for a particular amino acid; and 'wobble' base-pairing, i.e. permitting non-standard base-pairing at the 3rd anti-codon position.
Source: Rfam by way of RNAcentral